UGCCGCGUGCNGGAAGANUGCCCUAUGGGUUGUAAACUGCUUUUAUACNGGAAGAAACACUGCUACNUGUAGCAGCUUGACGGUACUGUAAGAAUAANGACCGGCUAACUCCGUGCCAGCAGCCGCGGUAAUACGGAGGGUCCGAGCGUUAUCCGGAAUCAUUGGGUUUAAAGGGUCCGCAGGCGGUCAAUUAAGUCANAGGUGAAAUCCCAUAGCUUAACUAUGGAACUGCCUUUGAUACUGGUUGACUUGAGUCAUAUGGAAGUAAAUAGAAUGUGUAGUGUAGCGGUGAAAUGCAUAGAUAUUACACAGAAUACCGAUUGCGAAGGCAGUCUACUACNUAUGUACUGACG
RNAcentral lists this ribosomal RNA (353 nucleotides) under Polaribacter sp. Asnod6C8. RNAcentral's name for it is "bacterial SSU rRNA". It matches the Rfam family "Bacterial small subunit ribosomal RNA", at positions 395 to 745 of the family's 1533-position model. Lineage: Bacteria; Pseudomonadati; Bacteroidota; Flavobacteriia; Flavobacteriales; Flavobacteriaceae. The record is from RNAcentral.